CUACGGGUCGCAGCAGUGAGGAAUAUUGCACAAUGGGGGAAACCCUGAUGCAGCAACGCCGCGUGGAGGAUGACGCAUUUCGGUGUGUAAACUCCUUUUAUGAGUCAAGAAAAUGACGGUAGCUCAUGAAUAAGCACCGGCUAACUCCGUGCCAGCAGCCGCGGUAAUACGGAGGGUGCAAGCGUUACUCGGAAUCACUGGGCGUAAAGGACGCGUAGGCGGGCUUGUAAGUCAGGUGUGAAAUCCUACAGCUAAACUGUAGAACUGCACUUGAAACUACGAGCCUAGAGUAUGGGAGGGGCAGAUGGAAUUAGUGGUGUAGGGGUAAAAUCCGUAGAUAUCACUAGGAAUACCGAAAGCGAAGGCGAUCUGCUGGAACAUUACUGACGCUAAGGCGUGAAAGCGUGGGGAGCAAACGGGAUUAGAUACCCGCGUAGUC
Molecule: ribosomal RNA, 439 nt
Filed under: uncultured bacterium
Lineage: Bacteria
Description: partial 16S ribosomal RNA
Rfam family: Bacterial small subunit ribosomal RNA
Source: RNAcentral